UUUUCCGAAGUCCUUUGCUUUCACUCUUCGUCCCAUCUUAGACAAUUUCAAACAUUCAAUUCGGACGUAAAACUCAAUUUGGACAUAUUCUUCCAAGAUCAAAAUUUUGGUCGAAUGGAGAAAAGCAUCAAGUGCCUCAGCUCUUUGACCUUUUUCGCCAAAAAAUCUCGAAUUUCAUUUUGAAUCAUAUCAAUGUCGAGUUGUUAAAAUGUCAC
Molecule: non-coding RNA, 215 nt
Organism: Caenorhabditis elegans
Lineage: Eukaryota; Metazoa; Nematoda; Chromadorea; Rhabditida; Rhabditidae
Source: Ensembl